RNAcentral lists this transfer-messenger RNA (355 nucleotides) under Chloroflexota bacterium. Its description in RNAcentral is "Chloroflexi bacterium transfer-messenger RNA". It matches the Rfam family "transfer-messenger RNA". From Rfam's summary of the family: Bacterial tmRNA, also known as 10Sa RNA or SsrA, is named for its dual tRNA and mRNA-like properties. Its role is to liberate the mRNA from a stalled ribosome. To accomplish this part of the tmRNA is used as a reading frame that ends in a translation stop signal. The record is from RNAcentral. Lineage: Bacteria; Bacillati; Chloroflexota.
GGGGACGCGCAGGUUCGACAGGGAGCCGUCUUCGCAAGAUUGCAGGCCGAGGCGCCACGCACCGCGUUAAAAGUGGCAAAAAAGUAACUGGCAACGACAAAGAGUUUGCCCUAGCCGCCUAACCGCGGCUACAUCCGCCAUCUCUUCCCUCCGAGAGGGGUGACCGGGUGCCAUAUUAUCGGGGGAAAGCCUGACAGACGCCGAUACGAAAAGGCUUAACCCAUCGGCUGGCUCUGCGAAGUGACCCGUCGGUAGGCGCUUCAUAGAGCGAGACUCAAUUACCGACUAAGCCUGUAGUACAUCUUAGCCGAAGGGUUUUCUGGACGGGGAGUGCGACUCUCCCCCGUCUCCACCA